This 915-nucleotide long non-coding RNA is filed under the name Capra hircus (goat). RNAcentral describes it as "lncRNA (ENSCHIG00010031501.1)". Lineage: Eukaryota; Metazoa; Chordata; Mammalia; Artiodactyla; Bovidae. The record is from RNAcentral.
GGUCAGGGGCCAGGGGGUCCCGCCUCUGCGCUGCUGCUGACCGGCUGUGCAAAUUGAGACGUGUGACUCCAUCUCUUCUGGCUCAGCACAGGUUAAACGGGGAUAAUAUUAACAUCCACCUCAAAGGAUGUGGGGACUGAAGGAGUUAACACUUGCCUGUGAAGAGCUUAAGAUAAUUCCUGGGACACAGCUGAGCCCUUAGUAAAUGUUAAAUGCGUUUUUAUUGUUUCUGUCUUGUUAAACUUUGUAAGUUACUAGGUCAUCUUAGGGCAGCUAUAGAAGCUGAAUUAUCUUAUUGUCAACGAGAGGUUAUUUAUUAGACAAUGUCUGUAAGCUUCAAAUUCCGCUUCAUUGGUCCAGAUGAGACGAGAAACACCGUGACGUGAUGACCUCAGCAGGCGGCCCUGGAGUGCGUGUCUCGCAGAGACCAGCUCUCAUCACACGUGCUUUCUGCCUCCACGCAGUUCAUGCCUUCAGAACUCCACUAAUUUUUUUUUCUAAAGCUGCUAUUGGAGAUGACCAUUUCACUCAGCCAAGGUCGUCACCUUGGCUGAGAAGGAGGAGGAGUCUGGAACUGUGGCACCAGGAAGUGACGUUUCUCCUGUAGGCCUGUGGAGCAUGGCUGCUUCUGACCAACAGUCGCUGUCCCACAGACUCCUGCAUGGAACAGGCCAUAUGGCAUUAACACCGCGGGAGCCGAAGUCAAUUGAGAAUCCAAAGGCAGGAAGGCCUCCCUGAACUCUCCUUAUCUGUCCAAAAGCAAAGCCUUGCAAAGAACUCAGCUGUCAUAAAUCCCCUCCCUGGGAGUUUCACAACUUUUAUCACUGGAGAUGGUAUCACUGGGAUAAGAGAUCACCUAAAGAGACCUUCAUUCCAUACUCCAAGGCCAAAUUUGCCUGUUACUCCAGGUGUUUC